Molecule: ribosomal RNA, 468 nt
Filed under: uncultured bacterium
Lineage: Bacteria
Description: partial 16S ribosomal RNA
Rfam family: Bacterial small subunit ribosomal RNA
Source: RNAcentral
GACGAACGCUGGCGGCGUGCUUAACACAUGCAAGUCGAACGGAAAGGCCCUGCUUUUGUUGGGUGCUCGAGUGGCGAACGGGUGAGUAACACGUGAGUAACCUGCCCCUGACUUUGGGAUAACUUCAGGAAACUGGGGCUAAUACCGGAUAGGAGCUCCUGCUGCAUGGUGGGGGUUGGAAAGUUUCGGCGGUUGGGGAUGGACUCGCGGCUUAUCAGCUUGUUGGUGGGGUAGUGGCUUACCAAGGCUUUGACGGGUAGCCGGCCUGAGAGGGUGACCGGCCACAUUGGGACUGAGAUACGGCCCAGACUCCUACGGGAGGCAGCAGUGGGGAAUAUUGCACAAUGGGCGGAAGCCUGAUGCAGCAACGCCGCGUGCGGGAUGACGGCCUUCGGGUUGUAAACCGCUUUCGCCUGUGACGAAGCGUGAGUGACGGUAAUGGGUAAAGAAGCACCGGCUAACUACGUG